Molecule: long non-coding RNA, 278 nt
Organism: Helianthus annuus (common sunflower)
Lineage: Eukaryota; Viridiplantae; Streptophyta; Magnoliopsida; Asterales; Asteraceae
Exons: 2
Source: RefSeq, a predicted model, not a curated record
AGGCGAGUCUAACAUUCGCAGCAGCGUAUUCGAUUUCACGGGCUGUUAAGAUUCCCGUGAUGUGUGCAUCGGGAUUAAGUGCAGUUACAGCACCAAUGGCCAUCAUAGCAGGAGCUGCAGGAGUUGGUGUCGGGUCAGAGAUUAACAAGCUAAAUGAUGUGGUUGCGAUGAUUGCGGAAGUCAGGUCGAUUGCUGAUUCGCUAGGGUUGGCGGUGACCACUGGAAGUGAAUUAGAAAACAGAGGUUUGAGAGUGUAGACAGUUGGUUAGUUUGGUUUG